GAUGAAGAACGUAGCGAAAUGCGAUACUUGGUGUGAAUUGCAGAAUCCCGUGAACCAUCGAGUCUUUGAACGCAAGUUGCGCCCGAAGCCAUUAGGCCGAGGGCACGCCUGCCUGGGCGUCACACGUCGUUGCCCCCCCAUCUACUCCUUCGGGAUUGCGGGGGGCGGAUGAUGGCCUCUCGUGCGCCUCGUCGCGCGGUUGGCCUAAAUGCCAAGUCCUCGGCGACGCACGCCACGACAAUCGGUGGUUGCGAAACCCCGGUUGCCUGUCGUGUGCGGUCGUCGCGCAUCGAGGGCUCGAAAAAAUUGCCGGGCUUCGGCUCGACUUUCAACGCGACCCCAGGUCAGGCGGGGUUACCCGCUGAAUUUAAGCAUAUCAAUAACGGAGGA
Molecule: unclassified non-coding RNA, 390 nt
Filed under: soil metagenome
Description: partial contains 5.8S ribosomal RNA, internal transcribed spacer 2, and large subunit ribosomal RNA
Rfam family: 5.8S ribosomal RNA (bases 1-122)
Source: RNAcentral